Non-coding RNA from Aegilops tauschii subsp. strangulata, 2415 nucleotides. The record is from RefSeq and is a predicted model, not a curated record. NCBI's taxonomy places the organism in Eukaryota, Viridiplantae, Streptophyta, Magnoliopsida, Poales, Poaceae.
ACCUAAUCCGGGUCUCUACCAGACUCCAGGAGGCCACGACGCCUCCCCUCUUUGCCGCCGCCGCCUCCUCCUCCUCUCUUUUCCCUCGUUCUCCAGCCGCCGCCGCUGCCUCCGAUCCUUCCUCCUCGGCUCUACCCACCCCAUCCUCUGUCCUCUCUUCACUCCUCCUCCUCUCACAGGCCCUGCCGCCGCACACCGCUGCUCCCCGUUGGCGGUGAAGGCCCUGCAGAUCCAGCCGGGAGGAGGCAGGUGACUCGAGCAGGGCUGGUCACCGCCGUGCGCCCGCUCCGUCGUCACGGGUUGUCGCCAUGCUCCCCUCCUCUGCACGUCAUCGCCUGAAGGUCACCGUUGCCGCCGCCGAUUUACUCCCCAUUCCCCUCCACCAUCGGGUGUCCAUUGUGUCUGUCUCCAGGGAUCCAACUAUGGCCAUCGCUUUGUUUCCUUCCUUUUCUGAUCAUCUCGUCCACAACGGUGGCCGCGGUGCGGACAAUCGGUGGAAAGUAGGUAGGGAAGGCCCGACAGUGGUGCCACGCGGGAUGAAGCAACGGCGGCACAGGAGCUUCCCGGGGCAGUUCAUCUUCCUCUCCUUUGUCCUCCCCCAUUCCCCUCCUAGAUACUCGUUGAUUAAGAGGUACAAGUGGGUGGCCAGCUGCAAUUUCUAGAUGGAAGACAUCUGGUUAAGAUUUUCCUUGGGUUCUUGAUUCCAUUUUCUCAAUGGUUAUUACUUAUAUGUAAUUAGUACGUAGAAUAACAAUUUUUGUAUACCAUGUUUGUGGCUGAAUGCAUUGAGUUGCUGGAAUUGUUGUAUUAGAUCACAUGCAUUAUUCAGUGCACUCUUGAUUGUCUUACCAAUGGUCCAAAUAAAUACACAACCAGUGAAAUUGACCGUGGUUUUGAUUUACUUUUCUUACAAUAGAGUAAAUUUCAUUAUUUUUCAGUUUGGACAUACUUCUAUCGGUUUGCUUCUAAUUGCAGCUUAAUCUGUAACUUGUGUAACUUGUAGGCUUUGCACUAUAGAGCAGUUGGUGGUAGGAAGGACAGAGGACGCGAAGAACUCAUGGUUAGGUGUACGGCGAGAGGAGGAGGAGGAAGCACUUCUCUGACAAGAUCCAUAGCUCCCCACCUCUGUAUUUCCAAUGUAUAUAUCUCAGAUCGGCGUGUCACGGGAGCGGAUACGGCGGCAGACACAAGCAGAGCAAAGCGAAGCCGGCGCGACGGCCAGGCCUUCCAAGCACACAGCCACUGCCUCCUCGCCAAGAUACGCUAGCCUGCAUCUACAAGAUUUUCAUGCUGUGGUGUUAUUGCAAUCCAGGAAAAAAAAGGAACUUGCCCGUAUGGUGUUCACUAAAAAGAAGAAUCUGCUAAAAGAUUGGAUGUGGGCUAUACGUGGACAUGAACUUGUUCCUGGGAUUCAGAAGGGAGGACGUGCCAUGGAACUUCGAGAAGACGGAGAACCAUGUGUACCUCCAUGUCGUGCUUUGGCAGAAGCCGGAUGCCGACGAGUCAGAACGCCUGCUGAAGAAGCCUCUCUGCUCACCAUUGGCGCUUUCCGUGGGAAGUGAUAGCAAUGGAAGCGGAGCUGUAGCUCUUCUGAAAAUUGCAAGGAUCUUUUCACAAAUCUAUUCAAGCCUUAAGACCAGAAGCAAGUUUAAUCUUCUCUUUGGAUUAACAUCUGGCUGACCCUACAAUUAAAAUGGAACUAGCAAGGUUAUCAAUUUUUUUUACAGCGGCUUGAAGUUUUGACCAACAUGUGCGUGAUAUUAUUGACUAUGCAAUUUACUUAAGUAUCAUUAGUUCCUAGAGCAAUGAUCUCUGGAUGCAUGUAUCAAAGCCUCCAGAGAAGCCUUACAUCAAGCAAAUCUUUGAGGAUUUUUCGGAUGUCUCCAAGGAAAUGGGCAUUUCAGUCGCACAAGAUUAAUGUGUCAAAUUCUAGAAAUUUGUGUGCUAUAGUUGUAUCUACGAAUCGCAGACUACAUGCUGAACAAGCUUCAGAUUGAGGAGAGCUUGGUCCCCAAGAUGUGCCUAAAUUUGUACAGGGAAUAAGGAACUACAAUGGCCGGUCUGAAGCUUAUGGGCUACGAUUUCGACUACGAGGAAUUCCAUGCUAGCAUGCACGGUAAAUUGCCAUAUGAGAAGUUGAAGCCGGACCCUGUCCUGAGGAACCUUCUGCUUUCGAUGCCUCAAAAUCCCUCUGAUGUUUCUUGCUACAUCGCAUCAGCGAGGGGUCUGUGACAGUUAAAUGCUUCAGUAGUUACAGUUUGUCGUUGUACUGUAGAUAUUCACCAACCCUGUCGUUGCACUGUAGAUAUUCACCAACUCUGACGAGGCUCACGUGGCCGCCCUCCUCUUGGUUAACUCUGACAUUCAUUGUGCCAUUUAUAUCAAAAUAUUGCAUGAGUUUUUGUUGGUUGUUCA